GAUGAACGCUGGCGGCGUGCCUAAUACAUGCAAGUCGAGCGAACAGACGAGGAGCUUGCUCCUCUGACGUUAGCGGCGGACGGGUGAGUAACACGUGGAUAACCUACCUAUAAGACUGGGAUAACUUCGGGAAACCGGAGCUAAUACCGGAUAAUAUAUUGAACCGCAUGGUUCAAUAGUGAAAGACGGUUUUGCUGUCACUUAUAGAUGGAUCCGCGCCGCAUUAGCUAGUUGGUAAGGUAACGGCUUACCAAGGCGACGAUGCGUAGCCGACCUGAGAGGGUGAUAGGCCACACUGGAACUGAGACACGGUCCAGACUCCUACGGGAGGCAGCAGUAGGGAAUCUUACGCAAUGGGCGAAAGCCUGACGGAGCAACGCCGCGUGAGUGAUGAAGGUCUUCGGAUCGUAAAACUCUGUUAUUAGGGAAGAACAAAUGUGUAAGUAACUAUGCACGUCUUGACGGUACCUAAUCAGAAAGCCACGGCUAACUACGUG
RNAcentral lists this ribosomal RNA (497 nucleotides) under uncultured bacterium. RNAcentral describes it as "partial 16S ribosomal RNA". It matches the Rfam family "Bacterial small subunit ribosomal RNA", at positions 28 to 507 of the family's 1533-position model. The record is from RNAcentral.